UCCCAAGCCUUCUGGCGAUCUAGACAAAACAAGUCCACCGUGGGCUUUGAAAAACGCUUUCCUUGAUAAAAUUUAAGCGNUUUAUAAGAGGAUGCCGGGGAAG
This 103-nucleotide unclassified non-coding RNA is filed under the name Bartonella henselae. RNAcentral describes it as "partial 16S-23S intergenic spacer". The record is from RNAcentral. Lineage: Bacteria; Pseudomonadati; Pseudomonadota; Alphaproteobacteria; Hyphomicrobiales; Bartonellaceae.